This is a long non-coding RNA of Musca domestica (house fly), 941 nucleotides long. RefSeq lists it as uncharacterized. The record is from RefSeq and is a predicted model, not a curated record. The transcript has 5 exons. Lineage: Eukaryota; Metazoa; Arthropoda; Insecta; Diptera; Muscidae.
AGUCGCUCAUCCCAUUUGUCAGUUUGUGAAUUUGUUUUAGUUACGUGCGUGUCAUUUGCUAGGCGGUUGCGUAUUUUUUGAAAAGGUGUUGUUAGAAUAAUUAAAAAGGUUUUGUUUUAGUUCUGUGUGUAUUAUAUUAUUGUCGGUUGUGUUUUUUAAAGGAGUUGUGAGAACAAUUUUAAGCUCCUAGACAAGACGUACGCAAUACAUAAAUUGUUAUGACUUCGGCGGUCGAUUUAUUACCAAACAUUCCCCGUUAUGUUUGUUUUGACGUGUGUGUGUUCUAUUUUUUUCGUUUUGUUUUCCCGAAUAAUUAGUGGGAAAGAUUACACUGUAUCGAAAAAAUGGUAUCAAAAGUAGAGGGUACUAGUAAAAAUGUACAGGACAAAAAGUAACAUAUAAGCAUUGUGUAUUUGUUAAAAUAAUUUAAAAUGUUGCUCAACAGAAAAUAGUGUUCAUUAUUAAAUCAAUCUAAUCCAUCGCCAUUGCGAAAUUAAUUGUACACAAAACCUCUUGUCUUCGAUAACCUGCUUUACAAACGUUCUGUAAAAUUUGGAAGAAACGAAUAAUACAGAUGACGAUAGUUGAGCUCUUCAACUGCAGAUAUAAAGUUUGAUUUCUGUGACAACAAAAGGGUAGCUGAAUUUGGACUAUCUUUACCAAGUAACAGCACUUGUAACUCGUGUGAUCUGAUCCGAUCUGAGCUGCAGCUAAGGGCUACAUCCAAAUCUGAACCAAUUUUUGGCGCCAUUAGAACAUUUUAUCAGCGAACUGAAAAACCAUAACGAGAAUUUUUACAAAAGAUGAAGAGAUGAAAUACAGUACCGAAUCAACGCAUUCCAAGGAAUUGCUGUGGCCUAACUAAUAAAUUAUACUACAUUCUUUAUAUAUUAAAAUUGUUAAAUCGAAGAAUAAAUAAAACUACAAGAAAAUGAUAAUAA